AUUGAACGCUGGCGGCAUGCUUUACACAUGCAAGUCGAACGGCAGCGCGGGCUUCGGCCUGGCGGCGAGUGGCGAACGGGUGAGUAAUGCAUCGGAACGUGCCCAGUAGUGGGGGAUAGCCCGGCGAAAGCCGGAUUAAUACCGCAUACGACCUGAGGGUGAAAGCGGGGGACCGAAAGGCCUCGCGCUAUUGGAGCGGCCGAUGUCGGAUUAGCUAGUUGGUGGGGUAAAGGCUUACCAAGGCGACGAUCCGUAGCUGGUCUGAGAGGACGACCAGCCACACUGGGAGUGAGACACGGCACAGACUCUGACGGGAGGCAGCAGUGGGGAAUUUUGGACAAUGGGGGCAACCCUGAUCCAGCCAUGCCGCGUGCGGGAAGAAGGCCUUCGGGUUGUAAACCGCUUUUGUUCGGGAAGAAAUCCUCUGGGCUAAUACCCCGGGGGGAUGACGGUACCGGAAGAAUAAGCACCGGCUAACUACGU
This 483-nucleotide ribosomal RNA is filed under the name uncultured bacterium. Its description in RNAcentral is "partial 16S ribosomal RNA". It matches the Rfam family "Bacterial small subunit ribosomal RNA", at positions 29 to 506 of the family's 1533-position model. The record is from RNAcentral.